RNAcentral lists this ribosomal RNA (505 nucleotides) under uncultured bacterium. RNAcentral describes it as "partial 16S ribosomal RNA". It matches the Rfam family "Bacterial small subunit ribosomal RNA", at positions 28 to 507 of the family's 1533-position model. The record is from RNAcentral.
GACGAACGCUGGCGGCGUGCCUAAUACAUGCAAGUAGAACGCACAGUUUAUACCGUAGCUUGCUACACCAUAGACUGUGAGUUGCGAACGGGUGAGUAACGCGUAGGUAACCUGCCUGGUAGCGGGGGAUAACUAUUGGAAACGAUAGCUAAUACCGCAUAAUAUUGAUUAUUGCAUGAUAAUUGAUUGAAAGAUGCUAUUGCAUCACUACCAGAUGGACCUGCGUUGUAUUAGCUAGUAGGUGAGGUAACGGCUCACCUAGGCGACGAUACAUAGCCGACCUGAGAGGGUGAUCGGCCACACUGGGACUGAGACACGGCCCAGACUCCUACGGGAGGCAGCAGUAGGGAAUCUUCGGCAAUGGACGAAAGUCUGACCGAGCAACGCCGCGUGAGUGAAGAAGGUUUUCGGAUCUUAAAGCUCUGUUGUAAGAGAAGAACGGGUGUGAGAGUGGAAAGUUCACACUGUGACGGUAUCUUACCAGAAAGGGACGGCUAACUACGCG